Molecule: ribosomal RNA, 424 nt
Filed under: uncultured bacterium
Lineage: Bacteria
Description: bacterial SSU rRNA
Rfam family: Bacterial small subunit ribosomal RNA
Source: RNAcentral
UAAGGAAUAUUGGUCAAUGGACGAAAGUCUGAACCAGCCAUGCCGCGUGAAGGAUGAAGGUCCUCUGGAUUGUAAACUUCUUUUAUCUGGGACGAAAAAAGGGAAUUCUUUCCCACUUGACGGUACCAGAGGAAUAAGCACCGGCUAACUCCGUGCCAGCAGCCGCGGUAAUACGGAGGGUGCAAGCGUUAUCCGGAUUUACUGGGUUUAAAGGGUGCGUAGGUGGGUCUGUAAGUCAGUGGUGAAAUCUUCGAGCUUAACUCGGAAACUGCCAUUGAUACUAUAGGUCUUGAAUUAUCUGGAGGUAAGCGGAAUAUGUCAUGUAGCGGUGAAAUGCUUAGAUAUGACAUAGAACACCAAUUGCGAAGGCAGCUUACUACGGAUCGAUUGACACUGAGGCACGAAAGCGUGGGGAUCAAACAGG